UGCGUAGGUGGUUUGGUAAGUUAUCUGUAAAAGCCCUGGGCUCAACCUGGGAAGGCCAGAUAAAAACUGCGAGACUCGAGUAUAGGAGAGGGUAGUGGAAUUUCCGGUGUAGCGGUGAAAUGCGUAGAGAUCGGAAGGAACACCAGUGGCGAAGGCGGCUACCUGGCCUGAUACUGACACUGAGGCACGAAAGCGUGGGGAGCAAACA
This 208-nucleotide ribosomal RNA is filed under the name uncultured bacterium. Its description in RNAcentral is "partial 16S ribosomal RNA". It matches the Rfam family "Bacterial small subunit ribosomal RNA", at positions 568 to 774 of the family's 1533-position model. The record is from RNAcentral.